AAUAGAUACCCGGGUAGUCCACGCCCCUAAACGAUGUCUACUAGUUGUCGGGUUCGUUAAUUGUACUUGGUUAACGCAGCUAACGCGUGAAGUAGACCGCCUGGGGAGUACGGUCGCAAGAUUAAAACUCAAAGGAAUUGACGGGGACCCGCACAAGCGGUGGAUGAUGUGGAUUAAUUCGAUGCAACGCGAAAAAACCUUACCUACCCUUGACAUGUCAGGAACCCUGGAGAGAUCUGGGGGUGCCCGAAAGGGAGCCUGAACACAAGGUGCUGCAUGGCUGUCGUCAGCUCGUGUCGUGAGAUGUUGGGUUAAGUCCCGCAACGAGCGCAACCCUUGCCAUUAGUUGCUACGAAAGGGCACUCUAAUGGGACUGCCGGUGACAAACCGGAGGAAGGUGGGGAUGACGUCAGGUCCUCAUGGCCCUUAUGGGUAGGGCUACACACGUCAUACAAGUGGCCGGUACAGAGGGCUGCCAAAGCGCGAGCUGGAGCCAAUCCCAGAAAACCGGUCGUAGUCCGGAUCGCAGUCUAGCAACUCGACUGCGGU
RNAcentral lists this ribosomal RNA (549 nucleotides) under uncultured bacterium. RNAcentral's name for it is "bacterial SSU rRNA". It matches the Rfam family "Bacterial small subunit ribosomal RNA", at positions 777 to 1322 of the family's 1533-position model. The record is from RNAcentral.